GAGGAACAUCCUGAAGCUCUCCAUCCAAAAAUAUAUUAAUGUAAAAGAAAAGUGGAAUAAAGUAGAAUAUCGUCCUCUGGAGUGUCGCAGUAGAGUUUCAGUUGCAGCUCCUCUCAGAUAAGAUCUGUAGAUCUGAUGUUCCUCAGAUAAGGUUCAUCUGUGAGAUCGGUGUUGGAGAACUCCAGCCCUGUUCCUGCGUGAGAUCAGACCUGCUGGAGGAGAAGAAGCAGCUGUGGCUCGGCGUCUGUCAUCGCUUUAAAAAACUUUCCUCCAGAUCUCACACCUGCCUGCUGUUUCCUCAUAAACCACCCUGGAACCCUGUGCUGGACCGAGCAGGUGAUUUACGACUUUAAUUAGA
This is a long non-coding RNA of Ictalurus punctatus (channel catfish), 358 nucleotides long. Lineage: Eukaryota; Metazoa; Chordata; Actinopteri; Siluriformes; Ictaluridae. The record is from Ensembl.